This 253-nucleotide ribosomal RNA is filed under the name uncultured bacterium. RNAcentral describes it as "partial 16S ribosomal RNA". It matches the Rfam family "Bacterial small subunit ribosomal RNA", at positions 524 to 776 of the family's 1533-position model. The record is from RNAcentral.
UACGUAGGGUGCAAGCGUUAAUCGGAAUUACUGGGCGUAAAGCGUGCGCAGGCGGUUGUGUAAGUCUGUCGUGAAAUCCCCGGGCUCAACCUGGGAAUUGCGAUGAAGACUGCACGGCUAGAGUGUGUCAGAGGGGGGUAGAAUUCCACGUGUAGCAGUGAAAUGCGUAGAUAUGUGGAGGAACACCGAUGGCGAAGGCAGCCCCCUGGGAUAACACUGACGCUCAUGCACGAAAGCGUGGGGAGCAAACAGG